CGAACCUACCCAUCAGAGGGGGAUAACACUUGGAAACAGGUGCUAAUACCGCAUAACAGUUUAUGCCGCAUGGCAUAAGAGUGAAAGGCGCUUUCGGGUGUCGCUGAUGGAUGGACCCGCGGUGCAUUAGCUAGUUGGUGAGGUAACGGCUCACCAAGGCCACGAUGCAUAGCCGACCUGAGAGGGUGAUCGGCCACACUGGGACUGAGACACGGCCCAG
This 220-nucleotide ribosomal RNA is filed under the name uncultured bacterium. RNAcentral describes it as "partial 16S ribosomal RNA". It matches the Rfam family "Bacterial small subunit ribosomal RNA", at positions 121 to 334 of the family's 1533-position model. The record is from RNAcentral.